UACGUAGGGUGCAAGCGUUGUCCGGAAUUAUUGGGCGUAAAGAGCUCGUAGGCGGUUUGUCGCGUCGAAUGUGAAAACCCGGGGCUCAACCCCGGGCCUGCAUUCGAUACGGGCAGACUAGAGUUCGGUAGGGGAGUCUGGAAUUCCUGGUGUAGCGGUGAAAUGCGCAGAUAUCAGGAGGAACACCGGUGGCGAAGGCGGGACUCUGGGCCGAUACUGACGCUGAGGAGCGAAAGCGUGGGGAGCGAACGGG
This 253-nucleotide ribosomal RNA is filed under the name uncultured bacterium. RNAcentral describes it as "partial 16S ribosomal RNA". It matches the Rfam family "Bacterial small subunit ribosomal RNA", at positions 524 to 776 of the family's 1533-position model. The record is from RNAcentral.